UAACCGAGUGGCGGACGGGUGAGUAACGCGUGGGUAACCUGCCUCAUACAGGGGGAUAACGGUUAGAAAUGACUGCUAAUACCGCAUAAGCACACAGUACCGCAUGGUACGGUGUGAAAAACUCCGGUGGUAUGAGAUGGACCCGCGUCUGAUUAGGUAGUUGGUGGGGUAACGGCCUACCAAGCCGACGAUCAGUAGCCGACCUGAGAGGGUGACCGGCCACAUUGGGACUGAGACACGGCCCAA
Molecule: ribosomal RNA, 246 nt
Filed under: uncultured bacterium
Lineage: Bacteria
Description: partial 16S ribosomal RNA
Rfam family: Bacterial small subunit ribosomal RNA
Source: RNAcentral